GGUUCGGUAGUUCAGUUGGUUAGAAUACCUGCCUGUCACGCAGGGGGUCGCGGGUUCGAGUCCCGUCC
Molecule: transfer RNA, 68 nt
Filed under: Arenibacter nanhaiticus
Lineage: Bacteria; Pseudomonadati; Bacteroidota; Flavobacteriia; Flavobacteriales; Flavobacteriaceae
Description: tRNA_Asp_GTC
Rfam family: tRNA
About the family: Transfer RNA (tRNA) molecules are approximately 80 nucleotides in length. Their secondary structure includes four short double-helical elements and three loops (D, anti-codon, and T loops).
Source: RNAcentral